GAUGAACGCUGGCGGCGUGCCUAAUACAUGCAAGUCGAGCGAACAGACGAGGAGCUUGCUCCUCUGACGUUAGCGGCGGACGGGUGAGUAACACGUGGAUAACCUACCUAUAAGACUGGGAUAACUACGGGAAACCGGAGCUAAUACCGGAUAAUAUAUUGAACCGCAUGGUUCAAUAGUGAAAGACGGUUUUGCUGUCACUUAUAGAUGGAUCCGCGCCGCAUUAGCUAGUUGGUAAGGUAACGGCUUACCAAGGCAACGAUGCGUAGCCGACCUGAGAGGGUGAUCGGCCACACUGGAACUGAGACACGGUCCAGACUCCUACGGGAGGCAGCAGUAGGGAAUCUUCCGCAAUGGGCGAAAGCCUGACGGAGCAACGCCGCGUGAGUGAUGAAGGUCUUCGGAUCGUAGAACUCUGUUAUUAGGGAAGAACAAAUGUGUAAGUAACUAUGCACGUCUUGACGGUACCUAAUCAGAAAGCCACGGCUAACUACGUGCCAGCCGCCGCGGUAA
RNAcentral lists this ribosomal RNA (513 nucleotides) under uncultured bacterium. RNAcentral's name for it is "partial 16S ribosomal RNA". It matches the Rfam family "Bacterial small subunit ribosomal RNA", at positions 28 to 523 of the family's 1533-position model. The record is from RNAcentral.